RNAcentral lists this long non-coding RNA (519 nucleotides) under Bos taurus (domestic cattle). RNAcentral's name for it is "long non-coding RNA NONBTAT014276". The record is from RNAcentral. Lineage: Eukaryota; Metazoa; Chordata; Mammalia; Artiodactyla; Bovidae.
GUCUUCACACCAGCAAUUUUAAUUAGCAUUGUUGCUGUGCUGUAUUAUCAAACUGCUUGAGUAGUCAGAUAGUCUAUUAGUGGCAGCUGUUCUUCAUGUUUAAUCUUUUCCCUCUUCUGCUUCUUUCAUCACUGUCAACUUUCCAGCUUGCAGACUAGAGCAUAUGUAGCCAUCUUUAUUUACUUUUGUUCCGUGCUAGCAUUUGCCUUCCACUAAAUGAGGUUGUCCUUUAUGAGACAGCUGGUAAUUUAUUUCUACAGUCAAGGCUCAUAUACUGCAUUUCAGAACUUGGGAUAUGUUAGUAAGGCUUCAAAAAUGAAAAUAUCAUCUGAAUGAACAUUGUACUGAUGGUGAGCUACAGACAACACUCCCCCACCCCCGCUAAAAAAAAGCCAAUAUCUGAAUGUCUAGUACUUGUGUUUGUCUGUCCCAUUAAUAGUAGACUGUGAGAAUGGCUAUAAAUAGAUAUAUAUGUGUGUGUCUUCAUAUUAAUCUCUUUCUCCAAAGCAGAAUCAUUCC